This 497-nucleotide ribosomal RNA is filed under the name uncultured bacterium. Its description in RNAcentral is "partial 16S ribosomal RNA". It matches the Rfam family "Bacterial small subunit ribosomal RNA", at positions 28 to 507 of the family's 1533-position model. The record is from RNAcentral.
GACGAACGCUGGCGGCGUGCCUAAUACAUGCAAGUCGAACGCUGAAGAGAGGAGCUUACUCUUCUUGGAUGAGUUGCGAACGGGUGAGUAACGCGUAGGUAACCUGCCUUGUAGCGGGGGAUAACUAUUGGAAACGAUAGCUAAUACCGCAUAACAAUGGAUGACACAUGUCAUUUAUUUGAAAGGGGCAAUUGCUCCACUACAAGAUGGACCUGCGUUGUAUUAGCUAGUAGGUGAGGUAAUGGCUCACCUAGGCGACGAUACAUAGCCGACCUGAGAGGGUGAGCGGCCACACUGGGACUGAGACACGGCCCAGACUCCUACGGGAGGCAGCAGUAGGGAAUCUUCGGCAAUGGGGGCAACCCUGACCGAGCAACGCCGCGGGAGUGAAGAAGGUUUUCGGAUCGUAAAGCUCUGUUGUAAGUCAAGAACGGGUGUGAGAGUGGAAAGUUCACACUGUGACGGUAGCUUACCAGAAAGGGACGGCUAACUACGUG